ACACUAGGUACUUAUCCGAAUCUGUUACCCGUACGCAUCAAAGCUAGAACUGGGUGAUAGAGCAACACGUUUUCAAAGAAAAACUUUUGAUGUGGUGGUGGUUAAAGUUAUCUAGAGAUUUUUCACGUCUUCGUUUUUCGAAGUUCCUUCAUGACAAUCGAUGGGACUGAGUUCUAUAAAUUAUGCUUAUUUAAGGAAAAAAAAAAAAAGGAGCAAAUAAAGCCAGCUGUGUGUCGUAAUUAAAAAAAAAUUGAUUUAGGAUCACGGAGCGGGUCAUGAGCGUCAGCGGCCACAAGGGGGCAGCCUCACACCGGGCUCCGAGACAGGCGACGCGGGUCGCCGAGGCUGCCUCUUUCCCUGUGUGCACAGCUUGUUCUUAUCUCAGGAAGAACAUUCGUGCUCAAACCCAAGACCCACGAGUUGCCACCCGCCUCCUUGCUUCCUCUCACAUUUACUCAAUUUCUGUACAGAUUCUGUUGAGCCUGCUGUGAGUUACUGCCUCCUGGUCACCCGAAGAAGCUUCUCUGAAUGACACACGCCCUUCCAGUCUCCGUAAUCCAGCCUCCGUACAACUUCUGGGACGAUCUUUAAGAAAAUAAAAACAAACAGUUUUAUUCACACACA
RNAcentral lists this long non-coding RNA (624 nucleotides) under Fukomys damarensis (Damara mole-rat). RNAcentral describes it as "lncRNA (ENSFDAG00000028227.1)". Lineage: Eukaryota; Metazoa; Chordata; Mammalia; Rodentia; Bathyergidae. The record is from RNAcentral.